Phoenix dactylifera (date palm) is the source of this 4210-nucleotide RNA transcript. It is a transcript of the gene named histone-lysine N-methyltransferase ATX4-like, with no coding region annotated. NCBI's taxonomy places the organism in Eukaryota, Viridiplantae, Streptophyta, Magnoliopsida, Arecales, Arecaceae. The record is from RefSeq and is a predicted model, not a curated record.
AAUAACUAAGUAGAGGGGAAUGCUUUCAUUAGGCCUCUUUCCUCAUCUUCCAUUUCCUCUGCUAUCACAGAGCUCAGCCAGCUGCUGACAAUGGGAGAGGCUCUCAAACCAGACUGACUUGGAAAUGUGAACUAUGAGUGCAGUCGCCAAGCAGCGCAAAUAUCUUUCACCAUUUUCUUCCCUCCCUCUUUAAUUAUCCUUCCCUCCAUCUCAGUUUUCCCUUUCCCGCCAUCAGGGGUAUCUAAAAGGCCACGGCGGUCGGAUCCGAGCACCGGUCGUCCCCUGGAGUCGGUCAUCACAACUGACGGCUAUAUAAGCAUCGGAUGAGAUCCGUACCCAAACCCACGCGCUACUUACGGCACCUCCCGCGGCCCCUCUCUCUCUUUCUCUCUCAUCGCUUUCGAUUUCCGACUCCGAUUGGGAUUUAGAUUUGGAGCCGGACGUCCACGAAAUCUCCACAAAAACAUUAAAAAAGAAGAAAAAUAAAUAGAAGAACGGCCAACAGAAGGCGCGUUGUAUUCUCUCGUCCCAUCAGCCCAUCCAAAUUCUCCCCCAAAGAGUUGGAAUAGAGAAUUAGGGUUUCUUUCUUCCCUCUUUCCUCGUAAUCUCUUCAUCUUUCGUUCUUUUCUCGGAUUCGAGGUUUCUUAGGGUUUCUUUUUCUUCUCGAUCUCGUCGGGAAUUUAGGGUUCCUCCUCCAGGAUUUCGGGUCUCCUCCGCCGUUUCUGGAAGGAUGAUCUUUGAGCGGAGUUCGAGAGCCCGAAUGCCAAGCUUGAAGGCCUGCAACGCGGAGGGCGCCUCCGUUUGCGACGACGACGGGGAGGGGACGGAAGAGAGCCGCCGGAAGCGGCGGAGGGAGGAUGAUGGCUCGUUUCCGGUUAAGAUGAUCGGAGACGUCUCCACUGACGCCGGGAUGCCGUACGUUGCCGGAGGGUUCCGGCGCGGGGAGGAGCUGAGCUGUGCGGCCGUGGCGUCGUCCUGGUGCACCGAGGUCUCCUGUUCCGGCGAAGUGGAAUCGGGGUCCCGGGAUGGGGGGGAGCCGGCGGCGCGGCCGCCCAUUGUGCGGACAUCAAGGGGGAGGGUCCAGGUGCUUCCUUCCCGGUUCAGUGACUCGGUCCUCAUUGACCCCUGGAAGAAGGAGAAACCCAAGGGGCAGGCCUCGGACCCUCAUUUCCAUGAUGCGGGUGGCGUUCCUGGGGCUCAAGAACAGAGCUUGAACUAUAAAGGCGCCACAUUUGUUACUGUAGAGCCCAAUUCACUCGCAUUGCUGGGGGAGGAACAGUGCUAUCGGGCCUGCCGAAAUUUAAGUGCCAAGAAGUACUCCAGUUCUCACAGCACGCUUACAUCCCUUAAUGAAAGUCUGGUUGGAGUGGAGGAGAAAUAUCGACCUUCAGUACCUUAUGUGGAGAAGCCAAUGGUUGGUCGUAUGGAGCAAGUGGCAGUGGAAUGUAGGUCUCGAAAGGAGAGUGCUGAGCGGAAGGCGGAUGUCUACUGGCCGGAAGAUUUUGUUUUGGGUGAUAUAGUUUGGGCGAAGUCGGGGAAGAAGUACCCUGCUUGGCCUGCUAUGGUGAUUGAUCCAAUGCAGCAAGCUCCUGAAGUAGUUCUGAACUCCUGCAUUCCAGGAGCUCUCUGCGUGAUGUUUUUUGGGUACUCCGGAAAUGGAAAUGGAAAUGAAAGGGACUAUGCAUGGGUAAAACAAGGAAUGAUCUUUCCGUUUAUAGACUAUCUAGACAGGUUUCAGGGCCAAACUCAGUUGUACAAGAACAAGUCUAGCAGUUUUAGGAUGGCUAUCGAGGAGGCUUUCUUAGCUGAGCUUGGUUUCUUUGGAAUUCAGAUGGAUGGGAUGAAUACAGCUGGGCAGUCUGAUUAUAAUCAAUCUGUCCGUGGAGGUCUCCAAGAGGCCACUGAUUCGAACCAUUAUCAGGAAUGUCAACCACAGAUGCAGGCUGUAAACAAAUCAGGACCUCAUUGUGAAAGUUGUGGGUUGAGUCUUCCUUCUAAAAGUGCAAAGAAAAUGAAACAUGAUUCAGAACAAUUACUAUGUAAACAUUGUGCUAAGCUUUUAAAGUCCAAACAGUAUUGCGGUAUAUGCAAGAAAAUUUGGCAUCACACGGAUGGUGGAAAUUGGGUUUGUUGUGAUGGAUGUCAAGUUUGGGUUCAUGUAGAAUGUGACAAAACAUGCGGUAGCCUAAAGGAUCUGGAAAACACUGAUUACUUUUGCCCUGAUUGCAAGCCAAAGUAUUUUAAAUUAUCUGAUACAGUGAAAAAGCAUUCAACAAUUAGAUGUGAGAACAGCAGUUUGCAACACAGACUUCCUGAGGAGAUGAUUGUUUGUUGUUGUGGUAUUGAAGGGAUAUAUUUACCAGAGCAGCAUGUGGUUUUAUGUCAGUGUGGCUCUUGCAAGACAAAGAAGUCAACACUUUGUGAGUGGGAACGGCAUACAGGUUCUAGAAGUAAAAAUUGGAAGAUUAGUGUUAAAGUCAAAAGUACAAUGCUGCCACUGGGAAAAUGGAUAGAACAAUAUGGUGGGUCUUCUGCAAACCAUGCUAAAUGCUUACCUCCAAAAGUAAGGAAACAGAAGCUUAUAGCAUCACUGCAGGAACCAUAUGAUCCAGUGUAUGCUAAAUGGACAACAGAGCGUUGUGCAGUCUGCAGAUGGGUUGAAGAUUGGGAUUACAAUAAAAUCAUUAUCUGCAACAGAUGCCAAAUAGCUGUCCACCAGGAAUGUUAUGGAGCACGAAAUGUACAAGAUUUCACGUCUUGGGUUUGCAGGGCAUGUGAAAUGCCUCUGCAUAAAUGGGAGUGCUGUCUUUGUCCUGUAAAAGGGGGCGCUUUAAAGCCAACAGAUGUUGAUUCUUUAUGGGUCCAUGUUACAUGUGCCUGGUUUCAGCCAGAAGUUUCUUUCUCCAGUGAUGAAACCAUGGAGCCUGCUGUUGGCAUAUUGAAUAUUUCUCCACAAUCAUUUACUAAGACAUGUGUGAUAUGUAAGAAGAUGCAUGGUGCAUGCACAAAAUGCUACAAGUGUUCCACUUAUUAUCAUGCAAUGUGUGCAUCAAGAGCAGGGUAUCGCAUGGAGUUGCACUGCUUAGAAAGAAAUGGGAAACAGAUAACACAAAUGGUCUCAUAUUGCGCAUUUCACAGGGCUCCAAACCCAGAUACUGUCUUGAUUGUGCAGACACCAGCAGGUGUUUUCUCUACCAAAAAUUUGCUCCAAAAUAGUGAGAAGCAGACUGGUUCGAGACUGAUUAGGAAGGACAUCACCCAGGAUGCAGCCCUACCUACUUCACCUUCUGAAUCUUCAUCUGCUGCGAGGUGCCUGAUUUACAAAAGGAUAGACACUAAGAGAAAACAAGAGGAGGCUAUUGCCCGCCAUGUGAUGGGGCCUCGCCACCAUCCUUUGGAUGCUAUUGAAAAUUUGAAUGCACCUAGGGAAGAGAAGGAUCCUAAAUCAUUUUUGACAUUCAGGGAACGCCUUAAAUACUUGCAGUCAACUGAACACAGUAGGGUCUGCUUUGGUAAGUCUGGAAUACAUGGAUGGGGCCUCUUUGCCCGUCGGAACAUUCAGGAAGGAGAAAUGGUGGUUGAAUAUCGUGGUGAGCAGGUAAGACGCAGUGUUGCGGAUCUAAGGGAAGCACGUUAUCGGCUGGAAAAAAAGGAUUGUUAUCUUUUUAAAAUCAGUGAAGAAGUGGUGGUUGAUGCUACAGAUAAAGGAAACAUAGCACGCCUAAUUAACCACUCUGGUUUUUGGUGCAGUGCAUGCCCAACUGCUAUGCAAGAAUAAUGAGUGUUGGUGACGAUCAGAGCCGGAUUGUACUUAUCGCCAAGAGGAAUGUUUCUGCAGGCGAGGAGUUAACGUACGAUUACUUGUUUGAUCCUGAUGAAGCUGAGGAAUGCAAAGUUCCCUGCCUCUGCAAAGCUCCAAACUGUCGGAAAUAUAUGAAUUAGGCAGUUGUAUAUUACCAUUUAAUUCUUCGACAUGGAAGCCAAUAUUACCAUUUAAUUCUUUGACAUGGAAGCCAUUCUUUUGUCAUUGAGAUUUUCCACUGCUAAAGUUAGAUGAGUCUGUAUUUUAUUUCCAGAUUGUUUAAUAAAUAUCAAGCUACAUCUCGAGGUUACUGACAUUCAGAAGGGUAUCAUCACCAUUGUAAAUUGCGUACUCUAAUGUACAAACUACAGGAUUAUUGUCAAUGAAGCAUUUUCUUAGAUUUUUCCC